AACGAACACUGGCGGCAGGCCUAACACAUGCAAGUCGAGCGAGGACUUCGGUCCUAGCGGCGGCCGGGUGAGUAACGCGUGGGAACGUUCCCUUUGCUUCGGAAUAGCUCUGGGAAACUGGGAGUAAUACCGGAUGAGCCCUUUGGGGGAAAGAUUUAUCGGCGAAGGAUCGGCCCGCGUUGGAUUAGGUCGUUGGUUGGGUAAUGGCCUACCAAGCCGACGAUCCAUAGCUGGGUUGAGAGGAUGAUCAGCCACACUGGGACUGAGACACGGCCCAGAAUCCUACGGGAGGCAGCAGUGGGGAAUCGUAGACAAUGGGGGAAACCAUGAACUAGCCAUGACGCGUGAGCGAUGAAGGCCGUAGGGUUGUAAAGCUCUUUCAGCUGGGAAGAUAAUGACGGUACCAGCAGAAGAAGCCCCGGCUAACUCCGUG
This 433-nucleotide ribosomal RNA is filed under the name uncultured bacterium. Its description in RNAcentral is "partial 16S ribosomal RNA". It matches the Rfam family "Bacterial small subunit ribosomal RNA", at positions 29 to 507 of the family's 1533-position model. The record is from RNAcentral.